RNAcentral lists this long non-coding RNA (218 nucleotides) under Musa acuminata (dwarf banana). RNAcentral describes it as "long non-coding RNA (MACU_LNC001942)". Lineage: Eukaryota; Viridiplantae; Streptophyta; Magnoliopsida; Zingiberales; Musaceae. The record is from RNAcentral.
UAUUUUAGAGGACAAUGGGAUGAAGAAACAGUUGGGACUACUUACGUGCCUUAGGAACAAUUUUUGGUAAUCCUAACUUAGUGAUUCUUCAAAAAAACUGUGAACAUUUACUACCUUUAAGCAUCAAAAUACUUCAUCACAUCUUGAUAAGUAUCAUUCUCUCAAAACAAUAUCAUCAUGAUGAAGUAAGUCAAAUGGAAUUAGGUACCAUGUAUUGG